AUGCGACUCAGUGGGGCACAAUGCCGAAUUAUGCUGAUGCUUAAUUGGAACAUGAAUUAGUUUUCAAAUGCACCAGCAAGUUGCGCUAAGUUCAGUGUUGAAAAAAAAAAUAUUCAUAGAGUUAGCAAUAACCACAAAUAACCUCUUUUAUUAAUGUGUAAUUAUAGUGGUAGGUAUACUUAAUAAUUGGUGGAAAACAAUUUACGGUUAUUUUAAGUAAUUUGGAUUUUGAUUAUUUCAUUAACAUUUUUUUCAAUGUUUCCGUGGGACGUCCACUGCUGGACAAAGGCCUCCCUCAAGGAUUUCCAAUACGACCGGUCACCGGCGGCCUGCAUCCAGCGUCUCCCUGCCACUCGGACCAGGUCGUCUGUCCAUCUUGUGGGAGGUCGUCCCACGCACGCAUCAAUUCACGCGCAUUACUCGUGAUUAUGAGUGCUCGAUUGUGCGAAGCGUUGCUGUAGUUGGAACAUUCCAUAAUGCGCUCUAGUGCUGUAAUUGGAAACACGGUACACAUACCUACUAGAGUCUAGAGUUAGCUCUGCUAUAUUACUUGCUCUGUGGUUAGCAUCACCACUAAAGUCCGAUGGCGAUAGACAAGGCGCUGUAUGUGACGCUGGCUGGCAAGCAUAAACUUACUCAUUAUCUGACUUUACUUUUAGUCAAGUAAUCUGUGGUCAAGUAAUAGUGGUAAUAGUAAACCUGAUAUAUAGCCCUGGUUUUGUUUCGUGGUAAAAUAAAACAAUUUUUAAAACUUUGUGGACUUAUUUUCAAAUUCUGCUGUAUGAGUCUAGUCCUGCAGGUGGUGCAGAAUUUAUGUGAUAGAAGAACAGAAAUGUCCUUAACUCUUACACAUGAUUUAAAUUAUGUAGGUCAUAAAUGUAUUUGUUAGGUACCAAUGAACUUCCUUCCAAAAUAAAUCUAAUUGAUAUAUUUAUUA
This is a long non-coding RNA of Colias croceus (clouded yellow), 937 nucleotides long. RefSeq lists it as uncharacterized. The record is from RefSeq and is a predicted model, not a curated record. The transcript is spliced from 2 exons. NCBI's taxonomy places the organism in Eukaryota, Metazoa, Arthropoda, Insecta, Lepidoptera, Pieridae.